RNAcentral lists this ribosomal RNA (553 nucleotides) under Salmonella enterica subsp. enterica serovar Enteritidis. RNAcentral describes it as "partial 23S ribosomal RNA". It matches the Rfam family "Bacterial large subunit ribosomal RNA", at positions 2390 to 2925 of the family's 2925-position model. The record is from RNAcentral. Lineage: Bacteria; Pseudomonadati; Pseudomonadota; Gammaproteobacteria; Enterobacterales; Enterobacteriaceae.
CGAGCAGGUGCGAAAGCAGGUCAUAGUGAUCCGGUGGUUCUGAAUGGAAGGGCCAUCGCUCAACGGAUAAAAGGUACUCCGGGGAUAACAGGCUGAUACCGCCCAAGAGUUCAUAUCGACGGCGGUGUUUGGCACCUCGAUGUCGGCUCAUCACAUCCUGGGGCUGAAGUAGGUCCCAAGGGUAUGGCUGUUCGCCAUUUAAAGUGGUACGCGAGCUGGGUUUAGAACGUCGUGAGACAGUUCGGUCCCUAUCUGCCGUGGGCGCUGGAGAACUGAGGGGGGCUGCUCCUAGUACGAGAGGACCGGAGUGGACGCAUCACUGGUGUUCGGGUUGUCAUGCCAAUGGCACUGCCCGGUAGCUAAAUGCGGAAGAGAUAAGUGCUGAAAGCAUCUAAGCACGAAACUUGCCCCGAGAUGAGUUCUCCCUGAGACUUAGAGUCUCCUGAAGGAACGUUGAAGACGACGACGUUGAUAGGCCGGGUGUGUAAGCGCAGCGAUGCGUUGAGCUAACCGGUACUAAUGAACCGUGAGGCUUAACCUUACAACGCCGAAG